UCGGGCUCGCAGGGCCGAAGGCUCCGAAGACUGAGACCUGUGAACCAUGGGGAGGCUCCAUGCGGAUGCGGGCCACAGCCCCCGCCGGAGCCCCCACACUAGCCCUGGACUUCUCCACUGGCUUACGACAUGAGAGCUCAAUAUGCUCCUUAUUUAACGCACUGUUGUAUCAGGUCCCUGUGGGAGCCACUGGCUCUAUGGCCUAAUAAAGGAGCGGGUGCACGCACUGGAUUGGUGAGCUACCGCCACUGCAACGCGUCCUAAUCAACCAUCCUAAACGGCGGCUGGAACAAGGUUCUCGCAGGCCUGUGCUUGGGCUUGAACGCUGGUCCAGCCGCUGCGCUCUGUGGCUCCCUGUAGGCCUGCGGAUCAGCCAGGGGCCUCCGUUCCUUUUGGGCGGAGGCUGAAGAAGCAGCGGCUGCACCAGAGAAGGCCCUCUGGGUGAAGGUGGGAGCGCACGGGGCCCGCGGAACCACCUAAGGCGACUUCAGACGUGGGCUCGGAACUGGCAGCCUUUGGUUUCUGCUUCAUUCCAAGGCCAGAGCAAUCCACAUGGGCAAACCCAAAGCCAGGGGACAGGAAAGUAUCCUCCACCCACAACGAAACCAUGGCAAGCGGUGGAUGCAGGUACCGCCAAUAGUCUAUCUAUCCCGGUGAGUGAGGAGACCUGCUUUGAGGGUUGCACAACCUGGAUCUGCUUUUACAGUGGUGUCUAUCACUAUGAAGACUCCACCAUGGGUCGCCAUCAGGUCAGGGACCCUGACAAGGCAAGAACUGCAUCUUCCUCUGCACACAGCUCUGCUCCCUUCCCCGCCAUGCCUAACACCAAGCCCAGCCCUGAGGGAUGACUCAGGAAUAUUACUGAGAGCGUUUUAGGCCAUUCCUUCAUUAUCCCCAUGUGACUUGUUAUGAAAUAUAGACUGACUUCCUGAAGAUCAGCACAUAGUGCUAAGUAUUUGGCUUGUAAUCUGUAGAGACUCUGCCAUUUGGAGCUGGGAUCUGUCCCCAGAGCUGUCAGACACCAAAUCCCGUAUCUACUGCCACCCAAAGGGACCUCCAGAAGAAAGGGGUUAUACAGGGUCAAACACCAAGGCAGGUUAGUGAAAUUUCUCUAGAGGCCAUUUAAAGCUGGAGUCUCACCACCUGAAUUGCCCUCAGAGGAAGGCUGUCUAGGGCACAAACCUAGUCAGGGGUCCACAUGGACUUAAGGACAAUUUUUUUUUUUUUUUUUUUUUUGAGAAACUCUCAUUCUGUCAUCAAGGCUCGAGUACAGUGGUGUGAACUCAGCUCACUGCAAGUCUCAACCUCCUGGGCUCAGCUCCUAAGACACACUAGCCACAUAUCAAGUGCUCAACUGCCCCGUGUGGCUAAUGGCUUCCAAACUGGCAGCACAGGCAACUGUUUUCAUCACUGAAGUUCUGUUGGACAAGAAUACCUCUGGAAGCACACACGAGAAACUGGUAAUGGCGGUUGCCUUCGGGGAGGGAAACUGGGAGAGUGCAGGGCUGUAUGCCCUUUUGUACCUCUUGAAUUUCAUAUCAUGUGUUUGUACUAGGUGUUUACAAAUUAUUUUAAAAACAUACUGGGAAUUAGGAAUCCCCGUAUGGAAUCACUGCAGUGGGACACUGAUUCCCAAAAAAUUACUUUGCAAUUUGCCUAAAACAAAUUAAGCUAAUAGCUAUCAUGAUUUCAUAUUUAAUAUUUUUUCCCAGCUUAGAGUUUUUUUUAGCUCCUGUUGCUAUCUCUCUGCUCUUAUGAGCUCACAGGGUGACAAAGUGAAUUAGUAAGUAGCAGGAGAACAUUAAAGGAAAAACUCCUGGGCAACAGGGUAAAACGCCGGCUCUACAGAAAAUACAAAACAUUAGCCAGGCAUGGUGGCAUGCACCUAUGGUCUUAGCGACUUGGGAGGCUGAGGUGGGAGGAUCGCUUGAGCCCGGAAGGCGGUAACUCAAUCCCAGCAGAAUCCCAGGGAGCGAAAGUGGCUCAUCCCAAA
This 1993-nucleotide long non-coding RNA is filed under the name Homo sapiens (human). RNAcentral's name for it is "HSALNT0391124". Lineage: Eukaryota; Metazoa; Chordata; Mammalia; Primates; Hominidae. The record is from RNAcentral.